Molecule: ribosomal RNA, 460 nt
Filed under: uncultured bacterium
Lineage: Bacteria
Description: partial 16S ribosomal RNA
Rfam family: Bacterial small subunit ribosomal RNA
Source: RNAcentral
GCUACGGGAGGCAGCAGUGAGGAAUAUUGGUCAAUGGGCGAGAGCCUGAACCAGCCAAGUCGCGUGAAGGAUGAAGGAUCUAUGGUUUGUAAACUUCUUUUAUAUGGGUAUAAAGUGAGGAACGUGUUCCUUUUUGUAUGUACCAUAUGAAUAAGCAUCGGCUAACUCCGUGCCAGCAGCCGCGGUAAUACGGAGGAUGCGAGCGUUAUCCGGAUUUAUUGGGUUUAGAGGGUGCGUAGGUGGUUAAUUAAGUCAGCGGUGAUCGUUUGUGGCUCAAACAUAAAAUUGCCGGUGAAACUGGUUGACUUGAGGAUAUUUGAGGAAGGCGACAUGCGGGGUGUAGAGGUGAAAUGCAUAGAUAUCACGCAGAACUCCGAUUGCGAAGGCAGCUUACUAAACUAUAACUGACACUGAAGCACGAAAGCGUGGGGAUGAAACAGGAUUAGAUACCCCUGUAGUA